RNAcentral lists this ribosomal RNA (244 nucleotides) under uncultured bacterium. Its description in RNAcentral is "partial 16S ribosomal RNA". It matches the Rfam family "Bacterial small subunit ribosomal RNA", at positions 524 to 769 of the family's 1533-position model. The record is from RNAcentral.
UACGUAGGGGGCGAGCGUUGUCCGGAAUCAUUGGGCGUAAAGCGCGUGUAGGCGGCCCGGUAAGUCCGCUGUGAAAGUCCAGGGCUCAACCCUGGGAUGCCGGUGGAUACUGUCGGGCUCGAGUCCGGAAGAGGCGAGUGGAAUUCCUGGUGUAGCGGUGAAAUGCGCAGAUAUCAGGAGGAACACCAAUGGCGAAGGCAGCUCGCUGGGACGUGACUGACGCUGAGACGCGAAGCGUGGGAGC